Molecule: ribosomal RNA, 253 nt
Filed under: uncultured bacterium
Lineage: Bacteria
Description: partial 16S ribosomal RNA
Rfam family: Bacterial small subunit ribosomal RNA
Source: RNAcentral
UACGUAGGGGGCAAGCGUUGUCCGGACUUACUGGGCGUAAAGCGUGUGCAGGCGGGCCGCUAUGUGCCGUGUGAAAGCUCUCAGCUUAUCUGGGAGAGGUUGCGGUAGACAGGCAGCCUGGAGGCUCGGAGAGGUCAGUGGAAUUCUCGGUGUAGUGGUGAAAUGCGUAGAUAUCGAGAGGAACACCAGUGGCGCAGGCAGCUUGCUGGCAUGUUUCUGACGCUAAGGCACGAAAGCGUGGGGAGCGAACAGG